RNAcentral lists this ribosomal RNA (698 nucleotides) under uncultured soil bacterium. RNAcentral describes it as "bacterial SSU rRNA". It matches the Rfam family "Bacterial small subunit ribosomal RNA", at positions 539 to 1234 of the family's 1533-position model. The record is from RNAcentral.
AGGUAUUCCGGGAUAUUGGGCGUAAGCGCUCGCAGGCGGUCUUUUAAGUCUGAUGUGAAAGCCCACGGCUCAACCGUGGAGGGUCAUUGGAAACUGGGAGACUUGAGUGCAGAAGAGGAGAGUGGAAUUCCACGUGUAGCGGUGAAAUGCGUAGAGAUGUGGAGGAACACCAGUGGCGAAGGCGACUCUCUGGUCUGUAACUGACGCUGAGGAGCGAAAGCGUGGGGAGCGAACAGGAUUAGAUACCCUGGUAGUCCACGCCGUAAACGAUGAGUGCUAAGUGUUAGAGGGUUUCCGCCCUUUAGUGCUGCAGCAAACGCAUUAAGCACUCCGCCUGGGGAGUACGGUCGCAAGACUGAAACUCAAAGGAAUUGACGGGGGCCCGCACAAGCGGUGGAGCAUGUGGUUUAAUUCGAAGCAACGCGAAGAACCUUACCAGGUCUUGACAUCCUUAUGCCUUCCCUAGAGAUAGGGCUUUCCCUUCGGGGACAUAAGUGACAGGUGGUGCAUGGUUGUCGUCAGCUCGUGUCGUGAGAUGUUGGGUUAAGUCCCGCAACGAGCGCAACCCUUGAUCUUAGUUGCCAGCAUUCAGUUGGGCACUCUAAGGUGACUGCCGGUGACAAACCGGAGGAAGGUGGGGGAUGACGUCAAAUCAUCAUGCCCCUUAUGACCUGGGGCUACACACGUGCUACAAUGGA